UAAGUAAAAAAAAAUCCACAGAGGGGAAGAAAGAGAGUUAGAAACUAUUUAUUAGGGAACUAAUUUAGAGUAACUAAUUUCUUCACCAGUAAUGGGAGAGAGCCUGGACUGACGACAGCUCAGCGACUGCACUGCUUGAUCCACGUGAGAAGGACGGGGCAAGGAACAGAAGCCAGCCUGCCGUUGUUCUGGGAGAUUGCUCUGCACUGUCACAGAUAGAGCAAGUUAUUUUAGAAAAGGUCUUUACAGCUUAAGGAUUCCCUGUUCAAAUACCCACUUUGCUAAACUCUGGGGGAGGAAGGUGCUCCUGGUCCAAGGUCAGUGGCACUGAAGUGCUGAGGCAAAGGGACAGGAGCAGCUUUUUGUCAGAAGAACAAGCCCAUGUCCCUGGGGAAGGGAUUUUUCUGCAUUUGAAUUCACUAAAUCCGAAGUCAGAAGGAGCUUUCAGAAGCAAAGGCUGAUUUCUGGAAGGAUCAGUCAGAGAAUCCUGGCCUUGGCCUGGGAGCUCUUGUUGCUCAUGGAGACAAACUGUGCUGGACUGCAGCUCCCUCUUAGCUCUGCAACUCACCUUUCAAAUCAAAUCACCUCAUGUUGGAAUAUCUCAGCAUACAGAGACCACAGAGCCAUGCUUGCCUUUGGAGGGUACGCUCACAGCCUGGCUUCCAGAGGUUCUGGAGGCAUCUCUCUUGCAGCCAGUGUCCUCCUGUCCAAGCCAUGGAGGUGCCACCUCCAGUUAUGUUGUUUAUAAACAAAUAAAACAGGCAACUUCCACCCUUUCUCUGCUUUUUAA
Haemorhous mexicanus (house finch) is the source of this 790-nucleotide long non-coding RNA. RefSeq lists it as uncharacterized. NCBI's taxonomy places the organism in Eukaryota, Metazoa, Chordata, Aves, Passeriformes, Fringillidae. The transcript is spliced from 2 exons. The record is from RefSeq and is a predicted model, not a curated record.